GUACAGUCGUAAUAUUUUAACUUCAUAUUAUUGAUAUUUUCAGAGUUCAUAGAUUUUUGCUGAAAUUUGGCAAUUUUGAACUAUUUUUCCCAGCCAGGAGAUCCAUACUGUGGUGUUCAGGAUGUUUCAGUCUAAAGUUUAGUGUAAAGUGUAAAAGCUGAUCCUGUGACCCUCUGUGACCAUUCAAGGAUUUCAGAACCUGAGCUUGUUUGAUCCAUGUGAUAUGUCCAAAACUCGUAUAAGGAACAGGCCUGUUUCACAGUCAUAAGCUAACUCGCAAAAUGUGACUACAGUCAAGCCAACAUUGUGUUUUGCCAACUUUGUUGCCUCAGUUGUUGUGUCUUUAUAUUACUGUCCUCUGGGUGUCACAAGCAGGAGCUUUGUCAGUAUGAAAGUUCACUUUAUCAAAAAAGUUUUGGCCCUGACAUUAAAUGAGUGAGUGCGAGUUAGCUGAUGUCACAACAACUUCCUGUUUUAGCAAUGUUACUUCAAAAGAAACUCAUACAGCCCUAAAAUGUCCUCGCAUGCAGGAAAAUUCAUAGAAGCAAUUUCUUUAAAUUGCUUCUAUGAAUUUUCCUCUUGAGAGAAACCGAAUCUCACUGAAUCAUCAAAUGCUUCACUGAGAGCCGUUCAGCUGCUGUUGUUAAGGCUUCAGCACGAUGGAGCGCCAGGAUCACCGCCUCCUUCAGAGUGAGGUUGAGUCAUCGUUCCAGAAGUGAGCAGGCAUGAGUGCGUCUGCAGCCACAGUGAGGCAUCAAGGGACAACAGAGAAGCCUCAAACUUCAAGGACACACCGGAAAUCUGCAGGAAGUUCAAGGGGCAGCAGAGGGUUGGUGCACAGUUGUUUUCUCUGAUGAAGCCAACUUCUGACUGUUUGGGAAAUCUGAAAAAAUCAUUUGUCUGUGGAAAAUCCCAAGAUUUGUGAGGCAUGUUUACAGACGAUGAUGGGGGUACCUGCAAGAGACCCGGCAGAGUGGAGUGGGCAAGCAUAAGGGCUAAACUCUGGUGACUGGAACAUCAUGGAUGUGAAACAGGCAAGCUUUUCUGGCAAGUUAUCUGGUUACGAAGCUCUGCAGAGGACACAAGAAGCAAAAGUUACUUUGCAACACUCAGAGGAAACCGAUGACAGGGGACGGGAAGUAAUCACCUGGAGAGACAACACCAGGGUUGGUUCCUGAACAUGAAACAUGCAGCCUCUCAACCGGAAACAACCUGCAGGUGUGAAGGGGCGAGCAGCUCCCCCUCCGAGGGCAGAGCCAAAAAUCUCACCGCACAGAGCCACCUGGAGAAAGACGAUUCAGCCAGCCUGCCUCAAACAUGGAGCAGAAGUGAAAAGUGGCUCAAAGAUCAUUAGAUCAGCAUUUUGGAUCCAUGGUCAGAAAACCUAAUCGUGGUAAAUGAUCAGUUCUUAAAGGCAUGUAGACAAGAAGAAGUCCACAAACAGUGAAGACCUUGGAGCACUGAUCACUGUUUGGAGGUUUUUCUCCUUCUCUGCGUUCUCUCUCUCCUCUCAGGUGCAGUUGUGUGCCGGCGGUCCUCGCUGGGGCCGCCAGCUGGAGGAGUCUGUUUCCCAGGCUUUGCUAAUCACACAUGCCUUUCAUUUUCUCACCAGUGAGCACUAUUUAAAGAUUGUGUUUGGCAUUCAAUCUCUGUCAGACUGUUGUCACUACAGUAGUGCUAAUCGGCGCCCUCAUGCUUAGAACAAGUUUUGUGUCAUGCCCUGCUUAACCUUUCGCUCUUAUCUGCCUCCAGUAAUUUUUCUAAUGACGUUCCUCUGCUGUUGUGGACAUUCCUCAGUCCAAACCUGCUCUCACUUCAAUUUGUUAUCAUAAAUUGUUAUCACAAUAGCUACCAGCUAUCCAAGGAAUUCUCACCUGCAGUGUACCUGCCUGCCCGCUCUCCACAGCUCCUUCUCCCAGUCUCCUCUGGACUCCUCUGGCCAGUCAGAACAUCCUCCACAGCCUCUAGAUGAAAAUAAUACCAGCUCCACUUCCUCUUGAAGCUAAGAUUGAUUCUGGACCACCUCUGGCUGAAACCUUCCUGUAAUCAGAGAGUUACUUGCACAAUCUCCUGCUGCUGUUUCCAGUGUCGGUAACUUCUAAAAACUUGUUAAAUAAACCUUUUAGAACUGUUGUUAGUUUCUUUCACUGCACUCAUUUGGUCAUUAUGGCAUUUAGGACUUCCAGAAGCUGAUAUCCUGCAUGUCAUAGAGAACGGCAGAAGUUACAAAGAAGAAGUGUGAACACUGUAAACACUGACUCUCUGCACAGAGUUCAUUUGCCAAAGUGAACUGUUCUUUACUAAAGAAUAUGAGCUUUGUGUCUGAAACACUGAAAAACCUUUGGCCUUGAUAUGAUCAAAAUAUACAUAAUACAAGUUCUGAUGAUAUUCUAUGAUAUUCUUAAUUAGCUGUAACAAGGAAGAAGAAAGUAUAACUGUAAUAAUUUACACAGCCUGCCAUCCCCCUUGAUGUUUUUUAAAUGUGUCAAAUUCAAAGUCAAGAUUAAGACUUCCUGUUCACAGGAUGCACCUUUGACCUUUGACUUUUUGUCAAGUUCACACAAACAUCAGAUUCAG
Oreochromis aureus is the source of this 2577-nucleotide long non-coding RNA. NCBI's taxonomy places the organism in Eukaryota, Metazoa, Chordata, Actinopteri, Cichliformes, Cichlidae. The record is from Ensembl.